Molecule: non-coding RNA, 161 nt
Organism: Pelobates cultripes (western spadefoot toad)
Lineage: Eukaryota; Metazoa; Chordata; Amphibia; Anura; Pelobatidae
Source: the annotation of a GenBank genome assembly
AGAGAGAGGGAGGGUGUGACUAGUGACAGAGUGAGGGAGGGAUGGGGUGACUAGUGAGAGUGAGGGAGGUGGUGAUUAGUGACAGAGGGAAGAAUGGGGUGACUAUCACUGUGUCACCCCCUUCCUCACUCUGUCACUAGUCACCCUCUCCCUCCCUCACU